Molecule: long non-coding RNA, 154 nt
Organism: Rhodamnia argentea
Lineage: Eukaryota; Viridiplantae; Streptophyta; Magnoliopsida; Myrtales; Myrtaceae
Exons: 3
Source: RefSeq, a predicted model, not a curated record
AACAAUGUCAAGAGGAAUUCAAAUGUUUUCUUAGCAAUUCCUUCCAACGACCCCCAAAGUAGCAUUGUCAUCCUUGGCCAUCAUGUAGUCGUGCAAAUGAGGAUGGCGGAAGAACCACUGUCGGUAACAGAUGAAGAACUGGAGGAACACAAUA